RNAcentral lists this long non-coding RNA (550 nucleotides) under Phoenix dactylifera (date palm). RNAcentral's name for it is "long non-coding RNA (PDAC_LNC003240)". Lineage: Eukaryota; Viridiplantae; Streptophyta; Magnoliopsida; Arecales; Arecaceae. The record is from RNAcentral.
AUUGGUCUACAAUCUCUUAACUCCUCUGCCUCGGGAAUGAAGAUCUCAACUACCUCCUCUGAUACCUUUCCUCGCAAGCUCGGCCUAAUUGGUAGGCGAAAUUAGCGGCCAAGGCUACUGCAUUCAGUUCGUGUUGCCACAGCGAAGCUUCUCUCGGCAAGAAAGAGAAAGGCAACCCUGUCUGACUCUAAAGCUGCUCCUAAAUCCCAAACCAGGCCUCCUUUGAUGGAUGACUGCUCCAACGAAGGUCUCAUCCUCCACUCUCUCUCGGCAGACAUCUUGGUGGACUGGGGUCGGAAGUGUGGAGUUAAAAUCCUAGACGCAGUGGUUGAGAAAUUCUCAAAGCUGCUGCUCACCUUGAAGACUGAGAGAGCUAAAGCCCAAUAGAUGACAUGGUCGACUAGGCCUAGUAGAUGUUCGGGUCAGUUCAUAUGCCUUCCAUUGCCUCUUGCUCUGAUUCCAUCCGGAUUGUUUCUCUCCUACAACCCUCUUUUGAUAGGCUAUAUCUGAUGAGUAUGGAUGCACUUAAUAAAGUCAGAAAAUAAAAUAU